AUUGAACGCUGGCGGCAUGCUUUACACAUGCAAGUCGAACGGCAGCGCGGGCUUCGGCCUGGCGGCGAGUGGCGAACGGGUGAGUAAUGCAUCGGAACGUGCCCAGUAGUGGGGGAUAGCCCGGCGAAAGCCGGAUUAAUACCGCAUACGACCUGAGGGUGAAAGCGGGGGACCGAAAGGCCUUGCGCUAUUGGAGCGGCCGAUGUCGGAUUAGCUAGUUGGUGGGGUAAAGGCUUACCAAGGCGACGAUCCGUAGCUGGUCUGAGAGGACGACCAGCCACACUGGGACUGAGACACGGCCCAGACUCCUACGGGAGGCAGCAGUGGGGAAUUUUGGACAAUGGGGGCAACCCUGAUCCAGCCAUGCCGCGUGCGGGAAGAAGGCCUUCGGGUUGUAAACCGCUUUUGUUCGGGAAGAAAUCCUCUGGGCUAAUACCCCGGGGGGAUGACGGUACCGGAAGAAUAAGCACCGGCUAACUACGUG
Molecule: ribosomal RNA, 484 nt
Filed under: uncultured bacterium
Lineage: Bacteria
Description: partial 16S ribosomal RNA
Rfam family: Bacterial small subunit ribosomal RNA
Source: RNAcentral